This 465-nucleotide ribosomal RNA is filed under the name Vreelandella stevensii. RNAcentral's name for it is "partial 16S ribosomal RNA". It matches the Rfam family "Bacterial small subunit ribosomal RNA", at positions 338 to 795 of the family's 1533-position model. Lineage: Bacteria; Pseudomonadati; Pseudomonadota; Gammaproteobacteria; Oceanospirillales; Halomonadaceae. The record is from RNAcentral.
CCUACGGGCGGCUGCAGUGGGGAAUAUUGGACAAUGGGGGCAACCCUGAUCCAGCCAUGCCGCGUGUGUGAAGAAGGCCCUCGGGUUGCAAAGCACUUUCAGUGAGGAAGAACGCCUGGUGGUUAAUACCCAUCAGGAAAGACAUCACUCACAGAAGAAGCACCGGCUAACUCCGUGCCAGCAGCCGCGGUAAUACGGAGGGUGCGAGCGUUAAUCGGAAUUACUGGGCGUAAAGCGCGCGUAGGUGGCUUGAUAAGCCGGUUGUGAAAGCCCCGGGCUCAACCUGGGAACGGCAUCCGGAACUGUCAAGCUAGAGUGCAGGAGAGGAAGGUAGAAUUCCCGGUGUAGCGGUGAAAUGCGUAGAGAUCGGGAGGAAUACCAGUGGCGAAGGCGGCCUUCUGGACUGACACUGACACUGAGGUGCGAAAGCGUGGGUAGCAAACAGGAUUAGAUACCCCUGUAGUC